RNAcentral lists this ribosomal RNA (927 nucleotides) under Starmerella sp. CBMA19.25. RNAcentral's name for it is "eukaryotic LSU rRNA". The stretch from base 384 to 927 matches the Rfam family "Eukaryotic large subunit ribosomal RNA", at positions 1 to 509 of the family's 3401-position model. Lineage: Eukaryota; Fungi; Ascomycota; Dipodascomycetes; Dipodascales; Trichomonascaceae. The record is from RNAcentral.
AUCAUUUCUGAAGGCUUUUUGCCAAACCACUGUGAACUGUCAGCUCCGGCUGACAACUGCUUGGGUGACUGCUUCGGCGGCGCCCAACAUUUAAAACUUCUACUUUUAAUUCUGAAACCAAGAAAUUUAAAAACUUUCAACAACGGAUCUCUUGGUUCUCGCAUCGAUGAAGAACGCAGCAAAGCGCGAUAGGUAAUGCGAAUUGCAGACGUGAGUCAUUGAAUCUUUGAACGCACAUUGCGCUACUAGGUUCUCCUAGUAGCAUGCUUGUUGGAGCGCCGAUCUUCCUCCCAACCUAUCUAGGUAUGGGGUACUGCUCCUUGUAGGAGUGAAAAACAUGGAAGUGCACACGUUAGUUAACUCUGUGCAGUUAAUCAAACUUUUGGCCCCCAAUCAAGCAAGGUUACCCGCUGAACUUAAGCAUAUCAAUAAGCGGAGGAAAAGAAACCAACAGGGAUUGCUCUAGUAACGGCGAGUGAACAAGCAAAAGCUCAGUUUUGAAAGCCUCUUCGGAGGCAUUGUAUUCUGAAGCCUAGAUUCUGGGAAACGGUACUUAAGUCUUCUGGAAAGGAGCGCCACGGAGGGUGAUAGCCCCGUACGGUACUGACCCCAUUGUAGUUUCUAGGCGUGGAGUCGAGUUGUUUGGGAAUGCAGCUCAAAUGGGAGGUAUGCUCCUUCUAAAGCUAAAUAUUUGCGAGAGACCGAUAGCGAACAAGUACUGUGAAGGAAAGAUGAAAAGAACUUUGAAAAGAGAGUGAAAUAGGACGUGAAAUUGUUGAAAUGGAAGGGUAGGCCGCUAACCAUGUAGGACCGUGUUUGAGGGGAAGAUAAAAGCUUCGGAAUGUGGCUCCUCGGAGUGUUAUAGCCGAAGUCAAUGUUCCCACUCGAGCGCGAGGAUCUCAGGUUCUACUAAAUGGUGGUCUACCA